CGGCGUGCCUAACACAUGCAAGUCGAACGGAGAGGUUAUGAACAAGACUUCGGUCAAGUGAUUAAUUUUCUUAGUGGCGGACGGGUGAGUAACGCGUGAGCAAUCUGCCUUUCAGAGGGGGAUAACGUUCUGAAAAGAACGCUAAUACCGCAUAAUGUAUUUUGAUGGCAUCUUCGAAAUACCAAAGGAGCAAUCCGCUGAAAGAUGAGCUCGCGUCUGAUUAGAUAGUUGGUGGGGUAACGGCCCACCAAGUCGACGAUUGGUAGCCGGACUGAGAGGUUGAACGGCCACAUUGGGACUGAGACACGGCCCAGACUCCUACGGGAGGCAGCAGUGGGGGAUAUUGCACAAUGGGGGAAACCCUGAUGCAGCAACGCCGCGUGAAGGAAGAAGGUCUUCGGAUUGUAAACUUCUGUUUUUAGUGAAGAAACAAAUGACGGUAGCUAAAGAGGAAGCCACGGCUAACUACGUG
This 472-nucleotide ribosomal RNA is filed under the name uncultured bacterium. RNAcentral describes it as "bacterial SSU rRNA". It matches the Rfam family "Bacterial small subunit ribosomal RNA", at positions 40 to 507 of the family's 1533-position model. The record is from RNAcentral.